RNAcentral lists this transfer-messenger RNA (356 nucleotides) under Desulfobacteraceae bacterium. It matches the Rfam family "transfer-messenger RNA". Rfam says of the family: Bacterial tmRNA, also known as 10Sa RNA or SsrA, is named for its dual tRNA and mRNA-like properties. Its role is to liberate the mRNA from a stalled ribosome. Lineage: Bacteria; Pseudomonadati; Thermodesulfobacteriota; Desulfobacteria; Desulfobacterales; Desulfobacteraceae. The record is from RNAcentral.
GGGGGCGAAACGGUUUCGACGGGGAUAAUUGAAGUUAGGGUUGCAUAUCGAGGUUCCGUCUGCUCGUAAAACAGGUGGGAAAAAAGUAAGCGCAGACGAUUAUGCGUAUGCUCUAGCCGCAUAAAUGGCUAGCAUCCUCUUGGCCUUUGCCUGCGUGGCUGAGUAAGGAUGUCGAUCAGCGGGCUAGCCGAUCCACUCUACCUGUGAUAUGGAUGGGUUAAAAAAGAUACAGGUCAGCUCCUUGGUAGUCUCGCCCGAUAGCGAACCCUGGAGCUAAAUUCAGCCAUCGGGAUAAGUAUGUAGAUGCCUUAGCGGAAUAUUUUCGGACGCGGGUUCGACUCCCGCCGCCUCCACCA